Molecule: unclassified non-coding RNA, 380 nt
Filed under: uncultured Actinomycetes bacterium
Lineage: Bacteria; Bacillati; Actinomycetota; Actinomycetes
Description: uncultured actinobacterium contains 16S-23S intergenic spacer region
Source: RNAcentral
UCCGAGUUGACCCCGGCAGUCUCCCAUGAGUCCCCAUCACCCCGAAGGGCAUGCUGGCAACACAGAACAAGGGUUGCGCUCGUUGCGGGACUUAACCCAACAUCUCACGACUCGAGCUGACGACAGCCAUGCACCACCUGUAUACCGACCACAAGGGGGGCACCAUCUCUGAUGCUUUCCGGUAUAUGUCAAGCCUUGGCAAGGUUCUUCGCGUUGCGUCGAAUUAAGCCACAUGCUCCGCUGCUUGUGCGGGCCCCCGUCAAUUCCUUUGAGUUUCAACCUUGCGGCCGUACUCCCCAGGCGGGGAACUUACUCCGUUAGGUGCGGCACCGGCAGUAACCUGCCGACACUUAGUUCCCAUCGUUUAGGGCGUGGACUAC